UGCGCCUGAACUCUUCAGAUAACACUGC
Molecule: non-coding RNA, 28 nt
Filed under: Cricetulus griseus (Chinese hamster)
Lineage: Eukaryota; Metazoa; Chordata; Mammalia; Rodentia; Cricetidae
Source: RNAcentral